CAAUUUAAACAACGAAGAGUUUGAUCCUGGCUCAGGAUGAACGCUAGCGACAGGCUUAACACAUGCAAGUCGAGGGGCAGCGGGGGUAGCGAUACCCGCCGGCGACCGGCGCACGGGUGAGUAACGCGUAUGCAACUUGCCUAUCAGAGGGGGAUAACCCGGCGAAAGUCGGACUAAUACCGCAUGAAGCAGGGGCCCCGCAUGGGGAUAUUUGCUAAAGAUUCAUCGCUGAUAGAUAGGCAUGCGUUCCAUUAGGCAGUUGGCGGGGUAACGGCCCACCAAACCGACGAUGGAUAGGGGUUCUGAGAGGAAGGUCCCCCACAUUGGUACUGAGACACGGACCAAACUCCUACGGGAGGCAGCAGUGAGGAAUAUUGGUCAAUGGGCGUAAGCCUGAACCAGCCAAGUCGCGUGAGGGAUGAAGGUUCUAUGGAUCGUAAACCUCUUUUAUAAGGGAAUAAAGUGCGGGACGUGUCCCGUUUUGUAUGUACCUUAUGAAUAAGGAUCGGCUAACUCCGUGCCAGCAGCCGCGGUAAUACGGAGGAUCCGAGCGUUAUCCGGAUUUAUUGGGUUUAAAGGGUGCGUAGGCGGCCUUUUAAGUCAGCGGUGAAAGUCUGUGGCUCAACCAUAGAAUUGCCGUUGAAACUGGGGGGCUUGAGUAUGUUUGAGGCAGGCGGAAUGCGUGGUGUAGCGGUGAAAUGCAUAGAUAUCACGCAGAACCCCGAUUGCGAAGGCAGCCUGCCAAGCCAUUACUGACGCUGAUGCACGAAAGCGUGGGGAUCAAACAGGAUUAGAUACCCUGGUAGUCCACGCAGUAAACGAUGAUCACUAGCUGUUUGCGAUACACUGUAAGCGGCACAGCGAAAGCGUUAAGUGAUCCACCUGGGGAGUACGCCGGCAACGGUGAAACUCAAAGGAAUUGACGGGGGCCCGCACAAGCGGAGGAACAUGUGGUUUAAUUCGAUGAUACGCGAGGAACCUUACCCGGGUUUGAACGCAUUCGGACCGAGGUGGAAACACCUUUUCUAGCAAUAGCCGUUUGCGAGGUGCUGCAUGGUUGUCGUCAGCUCGUGCCGUGAGGUGUCGGCUUAAGUGCCAUAACGAGCGCAACCCUUGCCACUAGUUACUAACAGGUAAAGCUGAGGACUCUGGUGGGACUGCCAGCGUAAGCUGCGAGGAAGGCGGGGAUGACGUCAAAUCAGCACGGCCCUUACAUCCGGGGCGACACACGUGUUACAAUGGCGUGGACAAAGGGAAGCCACCUGGCGACAGGGAGCGAAUCCCCAAACCACGUCUCAGUUCGGAUCGGAGUCUGCAACCCGACUCCGUGAAGCUGGAUUCGCUAGUAAUCGCGCAUCAGCCAUGGCGCGGUGAAUACGUUCCCGGGCCUUGUACACACCGCCCGUCAAGCCAUGGGAGCCGGGGGUACCUGAAGUCCGUAACCGCGAGGAUCGGCCUAGGGUAAAACUGGUGACUGGGGCUAAGUCGUAACAAGGUAGCCGUACCGGAAGGUGCGGCUGGAACACCUCCUUUCUGGAGC
This 1540-nucleotide ribosomal RNA is filed under the name Parabacteroides sp. AT13. RNAcentral's name for it is "16S ribosomal RNA". It matches the Rfam family "Bacterial small subunit ribosomal RNA". Lineage: Bacteria; Pseudomonadati; Bacteroidota; Bacteroidia; Bacteroidales; Tannerellaceae. The record is from RNAcentral.